AGGAUGUUAGCUUAAGUUUAAAGUGCCAGACUUUUAAUCUGGUGAUGAAAUUUCACAUCUUA
RNAcentral lists this transfer RNA (62 nucleotides) under Rhabdias kafunata. Its description in RNAcentral is "tRNA-Lys". It matches the Rfam family "tRNA". From Rfam's summary of the family: Transfer RNA (tRNA) molecules are approximately 80 nucleotides in length. Their secondary structure includes four short double-helical elements and three loops (D, anti-codon, and T loops). Further hydrogen bonds mediate the characteristic L-shaped molecular structure. tRNAs have two regions of fundamental functional importance: the anti-codon, which is responsible for specific mRNA codon recognition, and the 3' end, to which the tRNAs corresponding amino acid is attached (by aminoacyl-tRNA synthetases). tRNAs cope with the degeneracy of the genetic code in two manners: having more than one tRNA (with a specific anti-codon) for a particular amino acid; and 'wobble' base-pairing, i.e. permitting non-standard base-pairing at the 3rd anti-codon position. Lineage: Eukaryota; Metazoa; Nematoda; Chromadorea; Rhabditida; Rhabdiasidae. The record is from RNAcentral.